Molecule: ribosomal RNA, 604 nt
Filed under: uncultured bacterium
Lineage: Bacteria
Description: bacterial SSU rRNA
Rfam family: Bacterial small subunit ribosomal RNA
Source: RNAcentral
AGAGUUUGACCUGGCUCAGAUUGAACGCUGGCGGCAUGCCUUACACAUGCAAGUCGAACGGCAGCACGGAGCUUGCUCUGGUGGCGAGUGGCGAACGGGUGAGUAAUAUAUCGGAACGUACCCUAGAGUGGGGGAUAACGUAGCGAAAGUUACGCUAAUACCGCAUACGAUCUAAGGAUGAAAGUGGGGGAUCGCAAGACCUCAUGCUCGUGGAGCGGCCGAUAUCUGAUUAGCUAGUUGGUAGGGUAAAAGCCUACCAAGGCAUCGAUCAGUAGCUGGUCUGAGAGGACGACCAGCCACACUGGAACUGAGACACGGUCCAGACUCCUACGGGAGGCAGCAGUGGGGAAUUUUGGACAAUGGGCGAAAGCCUGAUCCAGCAAUGCCGCGUGAGUGAAGAAGGCCUUCGGGUUGUAAAGCUCUUUUGUCAGGGAAGAAACGGUGAGAGCUAAUAUCUCUUGCUAAUGACGGUACCUGAAGAAUAAGCACCGGCUAACUACGUGCCAGCAGCCGCGGUAAUACGUAGGGUGCAAGCGUUAAUCGGAAUUACUGGGCGUAAAGCGUGCGCAGGCGGUUUUGUAAGUCUGAUGUGAAAUCCCCGGGC